RNAcentral lists this ribosomal RNA (497 nucleotides) under uncultured bacterium. RNAcentral's name for it is "bacterial SSU rRNA". It matches the Rfam family "Bacterial small subunit ribosomal RNA", at positions 21 to 518 of the family's 1533-position model. The record is from RNAcentral.
GGCUCAGGAUGAACGCUGGCGGCGUGCUUAACACAUGCAAGUCGAACGAAGCAGUUAUCACGAUCCCUUCGGGGUGACGAUUACUGACUGAGUGGCGGACGGGUGAGUAACGCGUGGGUAACCUGCCUUGUACAGGGGGACAACAGUUGGAAACGACUGCUAAUACCGCAUAAGCGCACGGAAUCGCAUGAUUUUGUGUGAAAAGAUUUAUCGGUACAAGAUGGACCCGCGUCUGAUUAGCUAGUUGGUGAGGUAAUGGCCCACCAAGGCGACGAUCAGUAGCCGACCUGAGAGGGUGACCGGCCACAUUGGGACUGAGACACGGCCCAAACUCCUACGGGAGGCAGCAGUGGGGAAUAUUGCACAAUGGGCGCAAGCCUGAUGCAGCCGACGCCGCGUGAGCGAAGAAGUAUUUCGGUAUGUAAAGCUCUAUCAGCAGGGAAGAUAAUGACGGUACCUGACUAAGAAGCACCGGCUAAAUACGUGCCAGCAGCGGC